GCUGGGCGUGGUAGCUCACGCUUGUAAUCCCAGCACUUUGGGAGGCUGAGAUGGGUGGAUCGCCUGAGGUCGGGAGUUUGAGACCAACCUGACCAACAUGGUGAAACCCCAUCUCUA
RNAcentral lists this non-coding RNA (117 nucleotides) under Pan troglodytes (chimpanzee). The record is from Rfam by way of RNAcentral. Lineage: Eukaryota; Metazoa; Chordata; Mammalia; Primates; Hominidae.